AUGCAGUCGAGCGGAUGACGGGAGCUUGCUCCUUGAUUCAGCGGCGGACGGGUGAGUAAUGCCUAGGAAUCUGCCUGGUAGUGGGGGACAACGUUUCGAAAGGAACGCUAAUACCGCAUACGUCCUACGGGAGAAAGCAGGGGACCUUCGGGCCUUGCGCUAUCAGAUGAGCCUAGGUCGGAUUAGCUAGUUGGUGGGGUAAUGGCUCACCAAGGCGACGAUCCGUAACUGGUCUGAGAGGAUGAUCAGUCACACUGGAACUGAGACACGGUCCAGACUCCUACGGGAGGCAGCAGUGGGGAAUAUUGGACAAUGGGCGAAAGCCUGAUCCAGCCAUGCCGCGUGUGUGAAGAAGGUCUUCGGAUUGUAAAGCACUUUAAGUUGGGAGGAAGGGCAGUAAGUUAAUACCUUGCUGUUUUGACGUUACCGACAGAAUAAGCACCGGCUAACUCUGUGCCAGCAGCCGCGGUAAUACAGAGGGUGCAAGCGUUAAUCGGAAUUACUGGGCGUAAAGCGCGCGUAGGUGGUUCGUUAAGUUGGAUGUGAAAGCCCCGGGCUCAACCUGGGAACUGCAUCCAAAACUGGCGAGCUAGAGUACGGUAGAGGGUGGUGGAAUUUCCUGUGUAGCGGUGAAAUGCGUAGAUAUAGGAAGGAACACCAGUGGCGAAGCGACCACCUGGACUGAUACUGACACUGAGGUGCGAAAGCGUAGCAAACAGGAUUAGAUACCCUGGUAGUCCACGCCGUAAACGAUGUCAACUAGCCUUGGAAUCCUUGAGAUUUUAGUGGCGCAGCUAACGCAUUAAGUUGACCGCCUGGGGAGUACGGCCGCAGGUUAAAACUCAAUGAAUUGACGGGGCCCCACAGCGGGGACAUGGUUUAAUUCGAAGCAACGCAAAUAGCUUUGCAAAACUUUCAAGAUGCCUACUCUGACCUGCAGUCGCAGCUCGGCGAGGUCUACACUUCUGGGCGAGUGCAGGUCC
This 983-nucleotide ribosomal RNA is filed under the name Pseudomonas sp. BMO1_1D7. RNAcentral describes it as "bacterial SSU rRNA". It matches the Rfam family "Bacterial small subunit ribosomal RNA", at positions 55 to 1041 of the family's 1533-position model. Lineage: Bacteria; Pseudomonadati; Pseudomonadota; Gammaproteobacteria; Pseudomonadales; Pseudomonadaceae. The record is from RNAcentral.